RNAcentral lists this ribosomal RNA (214 nucleotides) under uncultured bacterium. RNAcentral describes it as "partial 16S ribosomal RNA". It matches the Rfam family "Bacterial small subunit ribosomal RNA", at positions 524 to 737 of the family's 1533-position model. The record is from RNAcentral.
UACGUAGGGUGCAAGCGUUGCCCGGAUUUAUUGGGCGUAAAGGGCGCGUAGGCGGCUCUGCACGUCCGUUGUGAAAUCGCCCGGCUCAACUGGGCGGGGUCAGCGGAUACGGCAGAGCUUGAGCAAGCUAGGGGGCAAUGGAAUUCCCGGUGUAGUGGUGGAAUGCGUAGAUAUCGGGAGGAACACCAGUGGCGAAGGCGGUUGCCUGGGGCUU